GCACAAUUUUGGGAUCAUCAGUGGGAGGGUCGUCGUUCUUGAUGAAACUUGCUUCAGUCUCGUUCUCAUAUACCUCGGGUGUGGCAGAAGAGUCAUCAGUAUUGGUUUCUGAUGCAUCUGUGGAUUUUGAAGCUCUGAGGUGGUGUUAUUAUACCCUCUUUGGGGUAUUCUCUGAGACUUUCAUUGUUAUCAGCCAUCCCUGAUCUCUGAUAAACCUGUUCAAAAGUAUUUUGAGAACAAGCAGAGCCUCAUGAAAUAAUGGUUCGAUGCUGUGACUUCCUGAACAGAUCCGGAGUCCUGAUCUUGAAGGUUCUUCAAUCUUUUCUUUCUGGGAAAAUUGUUCAAGUUGGCCAGAGGUUUUCUCCCCUAUUGUACAGGUAAUGCUUUCAAAGUUUUGUCUAGAAGGAUGUGCUUUGUCUUCAGCAACUUUCAUGGAAUAUGCAUAUUCGUCUUGAUCUUCAAUUGAAGCUUCUUUUGGGGUUGGGUUGCAUUUUUCUCUGAACAAAAUUUGCUCUUCUCUCUUUGAUGAUAUAUCAACAAUUUCAGGAUUUUCCAGAGUCUCGUUUGACUCACAAAGAAUGGUCUCAUCUCUUUUUCCUUGCUGCAGUGGAUUUCAAGCUUGAAUGUUGAACAAACUUUAAAAAUUUAUGAACAAAUUAACAGCGUUUAGAGUUCAAGAUACUGACCUGAAUGAACUCAGAAGGGAGGCCAGAGACAGAACUUUUCCUUUCAAUAUUUCUUCUUUUGUCUUCUCUUAAAAUUUGAAUUUUCAUUUCAUCACCUUGGAAGCUUUUCAUUGUUUCUUCAGCAGAUUCUUCUAUGACAUGUUUCUCAUUAAUAUCCUGUCUGCCCUUAGUUUCAGGUAGAUCAAUUGCCUGCUUCCAUACGUGAAAUUUCAGAAUCAGGAAAAAAACAUUUAUGGAGAAAGUGAAUGUAUGAUUUUGUGCGUUUUAAUACAAAAACAAGUGUGUGAUUGUGAAAAUGCUUGCAGCUCUCAUUCUUCUCUAUCAUUGCUUCACCACCCUUAGGACUUUCAUCCUGAAAGGUGUGCUCAAUCUGUUCUUCUCCAACAGGUGCCAUUCUUGGUGAUGUUGAUAGGGCUUCUUCCUCAGAUACGCCUGCCAUUGUCCAUGUAUGCUGAAUCUUCUGCACUGGCCAUCCUGUCAACUGGAGGUACAUGUUCCUCUGGCCACACUGAUUCACAGGUGUCUUCGUUUUUAUCUUUGCAGGCUGUAUAGGAAACCUCUUGUAGAGUUUC
Long non-coding RNA from Prosopis cineraria, 1258 nucleotides. RefSeq lists it as uncharacterized. The transcript is spliced from 6 exons. The record is from RefSeq and is a predicted model, not a curated record. Lineage: Eukaryota; Viridiplantae; Streptophyta; Magnoliopsida; Fabales; Fabaceae.